This 492-nucleotide ribosomal RNA is filed under the name uncultured bacterium. RNAcentral describes it as "partial 16S ribosomal RNA". It matches the Rfam family "Bacterial small subunit ribosomal RNA", at positions 29 to 507 of the family's 1533-position model. The record is from RNAcentral.
AGUGAACGCUGGCGGUAGGCCUAACACAUGCAAGUCGAACGGCAGCACAGUAAGAGCUUGCUCUUACGGGUGGCGAGUGGCGGACGGGUGAGGAAUACAUCGGAAUCUACUUUUUCGUGGGGGAUAACGUAGGGAAACUUACGCUAAUACCGCAUACGACCUACGGGUGAAAGCAGUGGAUCUUCGGACCUUGCGCGAUUGAAUGAGCCGAUGUCGGAUUAGCUAGUUGGCGGGGUAAAGGCCCACCAAGGCGACGAUCCGUAGCUGGUCUGAGAGGAUGAUCAGCCACACUGGAACUGAGACACGGUCCAGACUCCUACGGGAGGCAGCAGUGGGGAAUAUUGGGCAAUGGGCGCAAGCCUGAUCCAGCCAUACCGCGUGGGUGAAGAAGGCCUUCGGGUUGUAAAGCCCUUUUGUUGGGAAAGAAAAGCAGCAGAUUAAUACCCCGCUGUUCUGACGGUACCCAAAGAAUAAGCACCGGCUAACUUCGUG